CCUACGGGUGGCAGCAGUGAGGAAUAUUGGUCAAUGGACGAGAGUCUGAACCAGCCAAGUAGCGUGAAGGAUGACUGCCCUACGGGUUGUAAACUUCUUUUAUAUGGGAAUAAAAUGUUCCACGUGUGGGAUUUUGUAUGUACCAUAUGAAUAAGGAACGGCUAACUCCGUGCCAGCAGCCGCGGUAAUACGGAGGAUCCGAGCGUUUUCCGGAUUUAUUGGGUUUAAAGGGAGCGUAGGUGGAUUGUUAAGUCAGUGGGUAAAGUUUGGGGCCCAACCGUAAAAUUGCAGUUGAAACUGGCAGUCUUGAGUACAGUAGAGGUGGGCGGAAUGCGUGGAGUAGCGGUGAAAUGCUUAGAUAUCACGAAGAACUCCGAUUGCGAAGGCAGUUCACUGGACUGCAACUGACACUGAGGCUCGAAAGUGUGGGUAUCAAACAGGAUUAGAUACCCUAGUAGUC
RNAcentral lists this ribosomal RNA (460 nucleotides) under uncultured bacterium. Its description in RNAcentral is "partial 16S ribosomal RNA". It matches the Rfam family "Bacterial small subunit ribosomal RNA", at positions 338 to 795 of the family's 1533-position model. The record is from RNAcentral.